RNAcentral lists this ribosomal RNA (229 nucleotides) under Pteridomonas danica. RNAcentral describes it as "partial Bacterial large subunit ribosomal RNA". It matches the Rfam family "Bacterial large subunit ribosomal RNA", at positions 2557 to 2785 of the family's 2925-position model. Lineage: Eukaryota; Dictyochophyceae; Pedinellales. The record is from RNAcentral.
AGCCGGUCCCAAGGGUAUGGCUGUUCGCCAUUUAAAGAGGUACGUGAGCUGGGUUUAGAACGUCGUGAGACAGUUUGGUCCCUAUCUUCCGUGGGCGCUGCAAGAUUGAGAGAGCCUGCUCCUAGUACGAGAGGACCGGAGUGGACGCACCUCUGGUGUAUCGGUUGUCACGCCAGUGGCAUUGCCGAGUAGCUAAGUGCGGAAGAGAUAACCGCUGAAAGCAUCUAAG